GAUGAAGAACGCAGCGAAAUGCGAUAAGUAAUGUGAAUUGCAGAAUUCAGUGAAUCAUCGAAUCUUUGAACGCACAUUGCGCCCGCCAGUAUUCUGGCGGGCAUGCCUGUUCGAGCGUCAUUUCAACCAUCAAGCCCCGGGCUCGUGUUGGGGACCUGCGGCUGCCGCAGGCCCUGAAAUGCAGUGGCGGGCUCGCUGUCACUCCGAGCGUAGUAGUUACAUCUCGCUCUGGGCGUGCUGCGGGUUCCGGCCGUUAAAAGCCUUAUUUACCCAAGGUUGACCUCGGAUCAGGUAGGAAGACCCGCUGAACUUAAGCAUAUCAAUAAGCGGAGGA
Molecule: unclassified non-coding RNA, 334 nt
Filed under: soil metagenome
Description: partial contains 5.8S ribosomal RNA, internal transcribed spacer 2, and large subunit ribosomal RNA
Rfam family: 5.8S ribosomal RNA (bases 1-120)
Source: RNAcentral